GAUGAACGCUAGCUACAGGCCUAACACAUGCAAGUCGAGGGGAAACGGCAGCUUAGCUUGCUAAGCUGGACGUCGACCGGCGCACGGGUGAGUAACGCGUAUCCAACCUGCCCACCACUUGGGGAUAACCUUGCGAAAGUAAGACUAAUACCCAAUGACGUCUCUAGAAGACAUCUGAAAGGGAUUAAAGAUUUAUCGGUGAUGGAUGGGGAUGCGUCUGAUUAGCUUGUUGGCGGGGUAACGGCCCACCAAGGCGACGAUCAGUAGGGGUUCUGAGAGGAAGGUCCCCCCACAUUGGAACUGAGACACGGUCCAAAACUCCUACGGGAGGCAGCAGUGAGGAAUAUUGGUCAAUGGGCGAGAGCCUGAACCAGCCAAGUAGCGUGCGGGAUGAAGGCCCUANGGGUUGUAAACCGCUUUUUUCAGGGGGGAUAAAGUGAGUAACGUGUCAUUCAUUGCAGGUACCCUGCGAAUAAGGACCGGCUAAUUCCGUG
This 494-nucleotide ribosomal RNA is filed under the name uncultured bacterium. RNAcentral describes it as "bacterial SSU rRNA". It matches the Rfam family "Bacterial small subunit ribosomal RNA", at positions 28 to 507 of the family's 1533-position model. The record is from RNAcentral.